UACGGAGGGUGCAAGCGUUAUCCGGAUUCACUGGGUUUAAAGGGUGCGUAGGUGGCUAUUUAAGUCAGUGGUGAAAGCCGCGGCUCAACCGUGGAAUUGCCAUUGAAACUGAAUAGCUUGAGUACAGUUGAAGUGGGCGGAAUAUGUCAUGUAGCGGUGAAAUGCUUAGAUAUGACAUAGAACACCGAUUGCGAAGGCAGCUCACUAAGCUGUAACUGACACUGAGGCACGAAAGCGUGGGUAGCGAACAGG
Molecule: ribosomal RNA, 252 nt
Filed under: uncultured bacterium
Lineage: Bacteria
Description: partial 16S ribosomal RNA
Rfam family: Bacterial small subunit ribosomal RNA
Source: RNAcentral